Engraulis encrasicolus (European anchovy) is the source of this 1279-nucleotide long non-coding RNA. RefSeq lists it as uncharacterized. NCBI's taxonomy places the organism in Eukaryota, Metazoa, Chordata, Actinopteri, Clupeiformes, Engraulidae. The transcript has 2 exons. The record is from RefSeq and is a predicted model, not a curated record.
UCUCUUGUCGCUGUUUAUGUGCUAGCCAGCGGCUAGUGGCUAACUUCGCGUCUGCUGUUCUAUAGGUUGUGAUUCCAACUUGGCGUCUCUUACUUGGCUAGAGUGAUCUCUUGCUUCUCCACUGGCAAGGACUUCGGUGGACAAUACCAACGGUUACCUUGCGCUUUUCCCGUCUCCUGCACGCCGGUAUGUAUUAUAGUGGGUUAGCUUGUGCCUUUACCCAUCUCUGACUGUUUGUUUUCUUACCAUGGUUGCUAACGACGGCCAUUAUUAUGGUUUCAGCGUGUGGUCGCUACCGGCGCCUCGGCCGUGUACCUCUGUAUUGGCACUCCGACUGUGAGAAUCGCGCAUCGGUGCACCCUCAUCUCCGGGUUGUAUCCGUGUGGCCGUGGUCAGACACACCACGCGUUUAGGUGCACGAGCGGCGACUUUUAGCCCCGGUUGUGUGGUGCCUCUGGAAGCCGGGAACCCGUAUCUCGGCUGCUGCUCCGGCCUCGGGAAACCGGACAUUCGUGUGUGUGUGUGCGUUGGCGCGCUUUAGUUCAGUGUGUGUGUGUGUGUGUGUGUGUGUGUGUGUGUGUGUGUGGGCGCUCGGCUUGGUGUGAGCUGGUGUGUGAGCCAUUCCACAGUGUGUGUGCGUGUGCGUAAGUUGGUACGUGUGAGUGUGUGUGUAGGUACCUAGGGGACUGCACUGAGCUGAGCCUCUGGGGUUUGGUUUACCUCCUGUUUUGAUUUUCGUUUUCUUUCGUUUGCUGUGCCUAAUUUCCUUUUUUUUUCAUUAUUUCAUUCAAUUAUCUAAUUUCUUAUUUUACUGCAUGUGUUUACUGGAUUUUGAUUUAUUUUGCAUGGUUUGCUGUGAUUUCUUGUUGUUUUCUGUUUGCCGUGGAUUAUUUCUGUUUGCCGUGGAUUAUUUCUGUUUGUUGUGAACUAUUGCUUUACUUUUUCUUUUGUUAAUCCUGAGGUGUGCCAUUCGCCCUAUUGUGUUAGCCGUGCCAGCCCCUAGUGACAAAGUCUGACAACCUGAGUGUAGGUUCUAAGGCCUUAGGCCUACCAGGUGUGUUGCUUAUUGUGAAUUAAGGAACAUACUUUGGGGCAGGUGUUUACAGAUCCGCGGGUGUGGUGGCAGCACACCCACCCCUGCACUUUACUGUUAACGUGAACAUACUUUGGGGCAAGUGUUUAUCUAUCUGCGGGUGAUUGCGACAGCACACCCACCCCACUGCACUUUGUGAAUUGUGAGUACCUUUUUAUAUUUAUUGCAAAGAGUGAGAAAAAUAUA